AGAAGAAGAAGAAGAGUAGGUUCAAGCGCCGCCCUGCGAAACGACAUAAACAUUACUUUUUCUCGUGUUUUCCUUCAAACUACAAUGAAGAGAAGAUCCACAGCCUGUAAGAAGAGGGUGGAGAGGACAGUGACGGCCAGGAAAAGGAAGAAAAACCGCAGAGAAGCCUUCAUAUGACGAAAGUGCCCUUCCACCACUACCACAACCACCAAAUCACCACACUGAGUGUGAAGAUGUCAGGUCGCGAUGUGUUGGUCCAUCGGCGCACCUUCCAGAAUGCCAACCAGGUGGUGGAGUUGACCACACGCACCAUUCCCAAGGCUCAACACCACCAGCGAGGACAUCAACACCAAUCACCACCACCACCACCACCUUUCGCUCAUUGGCUACAGUGAAGGACGUGGCAGCCAGUCAGAGAGUGUACUGAAACUCCUGCUGUGAGCUACUCCUGAGGGUCAAGACCUGCACCCUCACCACCCCUGUAAAGGAUGCCCAGCUGACCCAACCCUCCACGGUCCUGGUGGCACCCGACCCGAGCUACUGGUACUGCCGGAACCCCCUGGCUGGCGGAUGAGAUCUUCCUGACGGAUGUGAUGGCCAACUUCCUGACUGUGAGGAUCGGGGAGUGCAAGAAGCGGCUGGGGGUUUUCAAGGACAUGACUGACCCAAACCAGAAUUCCCAGUGCUCGAUUAUGUGAUGUGUGGUGAUUGUGAAUAUGUCUUGACUUUGCUGGUGAAGGUUUCCAUGGCGAAUAUGAUCAUACUGAAAAGAUAUUAGCAUGAAAAGAUAUUGUUGUGCUGUGUUCGUGGGAAUCCCGUAAGCAAACGUGGGUACAGCUAUUAGUGGACGCAAAAUGUUAUUGUAAAGCCUGCUGGAUACAUUUGACAAGCAUAGAAAACCACCUAAAAAUUAUAAGUUAAAACACUGUCAUCACUUGCAGAAAUGGAAGUCCAAACAAUCUAAACUGAUACUUCAAAGGAAGCCCACAGCCUUAGGAUUACUUUAGGCAUUUGGGUUUGAGUCUUGGUGCAAAGCCAGAUUUUUAAGAAAUUUAUUUAUAAAAUUGUAUGGGCCGUGAACACCUCGUGUAUGACCCCCUGCUGCUCACAAGCCGUACACCAGUUAACCCGGUAGCAGCGACGGGACAAAUUUGUGGCUUUACCAUGUAGCAACGACGGGCCAAAUUUGUGCCAUGAUUUAAACCCCCAAAAAUAGAUGAUACAUAAACUGAUCACAAAUGUUUUGAUACAUAUUAUGAAAUGGUUUGUGUGAGGGGUGAUUUUUUCUCAUUUUUCUCGCUUAGAGGGACCAUUAAGAAAUAUGAUCCCCGCUGCUACCGGGUUGAAAAAAAAAGGCUUCCUAUGGAGAAAAAAUAUUCUCUGGAGAAGCUCAAGAGAUACUCAUAGAUGAAGGCCAUUUCCUGAGGAGUAUUAUGCACUCUCUGUUAUGCCUGUUAGGGCUAAUACAGAUUUUUAAUGAAUAUUUUCCCACUGUAGUCUAUUCCUUUGGGCAAGGCCACUCACGGCAGCUUAGUCCCAGCACCUCCACUUCCCCCU
Molecule: long non-coding RNA, 1557 nt
Organism: Eriocheir sinensis (Chinese mitten crab)
Lineage: Eukaryota; Metazoa; Arthropoda; Malacostraca; Decapoda; Varunidae
Exons: 4
Source: RefSeq, a predicted model, not a curated record